RNAcentral lists this ribosomal RNA (253 nucleotides) under uncultured bacterium. Its description in RNAcentral is "partial 16S ribosomal RNA". It matches the Rfam family "Bacterial small subunit ribosomal RNA", at positions 524 to 776 of the family's 1533-position model. The record is from RNAcentral.
UACGGAGGGAGCUAGCGUUGUCCGGAAUCAUUGGGCGUAAAGCGCGCGUAGGCGGCCCGGUAAGUCCGCUGUGAAAGUCAAAGGCUCAACCUUUGAAUGUCAGCGGAUACUGCCGGGCUAGAGUCCGGAAGAGGCGAGUGGAACUCCUGGUGUAGCGGUGGAAUGCGCAGAUAUCAGGAAGAACACCAACGGCGAAGGCAGCUCGCUGGGACGGAACUGACGCUAAGGCGCGAAAGCGUGGGGAGCGAACAGG